RNAcentral lists this long non-coding RNA (283 nucleotides) under Homo sapiens (human). RNAcentral's name for it is "non-protein coding lnc-FRK-4:1". Lineage: Eukaryota; Metazoa; Chordata; Mammalia; Primates; Hominidae. The record is from RNAcentral.
CAUUUGAAUGGAAUCUGAGAUUGAGGAGAAAUACUUGACCCUACUUACUUAUGCUCUACAUUCUAUUCUUUAAGCCCAUUUUUCAUUUUUGUAAUAAUAUAAAGUUUAUUUCCCAUUACGUAUAAUUUAAAGAUGUAAUUCUAUCUUUGGAUAGAGGAAGGAGAGAGGAAUCUUAUUGUGCUAAUAGUUUUUCAUGAAGUUUUCCAUUUAAAAUUGUAAUGUUAGAAUAUUGAAAAUAGGACUUAUUAAUAUUUAAGUAUAAGAAGAAAUUAGUUGUUUAUAU